GAUUGCUAAUCCAUUGUACGAGUUGACUACAAUAGGAAGGUGCCAACACUGUUUUAAAAGAAGCAAUAGCACUAUAUACACCCUCUGAAAAAAUUUCAUUAACCAACAUUUAUUUGGAAACAUGCAGAACUUACGGAACAUUAUCCAUAACAGAUGCUUCAGCUUAAUAUCACAACUUUAACAGGGGGAAGUUCCCAUUGAUAGUG
RNAcentral lists this unclassified non-coding RNA (206 nucleotides) under Hevea brasiliensis (rubber tree). Lineage: Eukaryota; Viridiplantae; Streptophyta; Magnoliopsida; Malpighiales; Euphorbiaceae. The record is from RNAcentral.